This 23-nucleotide microRNA is filed under the name Caenorhabditis briggsae. RNAcentral's name for it is "Cbr-Mir-67_5p (mature (co-guide))". The record is from RNAcentral. Lineage: Eukaryota; Metazoa; Nematoda; Chromadorea; Rhabditida; Rhabditidae.
AACUCAUUCUGCUGGUUGUUAUG